AGCGAACGCUGGCGGCAGGCUUAACACAUGCAAGUCGAGCGGGCAUCCUUGUGGUGUCAGCGGCAGACGGGUGAGUAACGCGUGGGAACGUGCCCUUCGGUUCGGAAUAACUCAGGGAAACUUGAGCUAAUACCGGAUACGUGCGAGAGCAGAAAGGUUUAUCUGCCGAAGGAUCGGCCCGCGUCUGAUUAGCUAGUUGGUGAGGUUAUGGCUCACCAAGGCGACGAUCAGUAGCUGGUCUGAGAGGAUGAUCAGCCACACUGGGACUGAGACACGGCCCAGACUCCUACGGGGGGCAGCAGUGGGGAAUAUUGGACAAUGGGGGCAACCCUGAUCCAGCCAUGCCGCGUGAGUGAUGACGGCCUUAGGGUUGUAAAGCUCUUUUCUCCGGGACGAUAAUGACGGUACCGGAGGAAUAAGCCCCGGCUAACUUCGU
RNAcentral lists this ribosomal RNA (436 nucleotides) under uncultured bacterium. RNAcentral describes it as "partial 16S ribosomal RNA". It matches the Rfam family "Bacterial small subunit ribosomal RNA", at positions 29 to 506 of the family's 1533-position model. The record is from RNAcentral.